GGAUUAGCUAGUUGGCGGGGUAAAGGCCCACCRAGGCGACGAUCCGUAGCUGGUCUGAGAGGAUGAUCAGCCACACUGGAACUGAGACACGGUCCAGACUCCUACGGGAGGCAGCAGUGGGGAAUAUUGGACAAUGGGCGCAAGCCUGAUCCAGCCAUACCGCGUGGGUGAAGAAGGCCUUCGGGUUGUAAAGCCCUUUUGUUGGGAAAGAAAAGCAGUCGAUUAAUACUCGGUUGUUCUGACGGUACCCAAAGAAUAAGCACCGGCUAACUUCGUGCCAGCAGCCGCGGUAAUACGAAGGGUGCAAGCGUUACUCGGAAUUACUGGGCGUAAAGCGUGCGUAGGUGGUUGUUUAAGUCUGUUGUGAAAGCCCUGGGCUCAACCUGGGAAUUGCAGUGGAUACUGGGCGACUAGAGUGUGGUAGAGGGUAGUGGAAUUCCCGGUGUAGCAGUGAAAUGCGUAGAGAUCGGGAGGAACAUCCAUGGCGAAGGCAGCUACCCUG
This 502-nucleotide ribosomal RNA is filed under the name Stenotrophomonas sp. RNAcentral's name for it is "bacterial SSU rRNA". It matches the Rfam family "Bacterial small subunit ribosomal RNA", at positions 238 to 732 of the family's 1533-position model. The record is from RNAcentral. Lineage: Bacteria; Pseudomonadati; Pseudomonadota; Gammaproteobacteria; Lysobacterales; Lysobacteraceae.